UUCCAGACUCCUACGGGAGGCAGCAGUGGGGAAUAUUGCACAAUGGGGGAAACCCUGAUGCAGCGACGCCGCGUGAGUGAAGAAGUAUUUCGGUAUGUAAAGCUCUAUCAGCAGGGAAGAUAAUGACGGUACCUGAGUAAGAAGCCCCGGCUAACUACGUGCCAGCAGCCGCGGUAAUACGUAGGGGGCAAGCGUUAUCCGGAUUUACUGGGUGUAAAGGGAGCGUAGACGGCAUGGCAAGUCUGAAGUGAAAGCCCGGGGCUCAACCGCGGGACUGCUUUGGAAACUGUUAAGCUGGAGUGCAGGAGAGGUAAGUGGAAUUCCUAGUGUAGCGGUGAAAUGCGUAGAUAUUAGGAGGAACACCAGUGGCGAAGGCGGCUUACUGGACUGUAACUGACGUUGAGGCUCGAAAGCGUGGGGAGCAAACAGGAUUAGAUACCCUAGUA
Molecule: ribosomal RNA, 446 nt
Filed under: uncultured bacterium
Lineage: Bacteria
Description: bacterial SSU rRNA
Rfam family: Bacterial small subunit ribosomal RNA
Source: RNAcentral